UUCCUUGCGCCGGUGAUGGUAAUUUUCGUC
This 30-nucleotide non-coding RNA is filed under the name Mus musculus (house mouse). Lineage: Eukaryota; Metazoa; Chordata; Mammalia; Rodentia; Muridae. The record is from RNAcentral.